AGCGAACGCUGGCGGCAGGCUUAACACAUGCAAGUCGAGCGGGCACUUCGGUGUCAGCGGCAGACGGGUGAGUAACACGUGGGAACGUACCCUUUGGUUCGGAAUAACGCUGGGAAACUAGCGCUAAUACCGGAUACGCCCUUUUGGUGAAAGGCUUGCUGCCGAAGGAUCGGCCCGCGUCUGAUUAGCUAGUUGGUGGGGUAAUGGCCUACCAAGGCGACGAUCAGUAGCUGGUCUGAGAGGAUGAUCAGCCACACUGGGACUGAGACACGGCCCAGACUCCUACGGGAGGCAGCAGUGGGGAAUAUUGGACAAUGGGCGCAAGCCUGAUCCAGCCAUGCCGCGUGAGUGAUGAAGGCCUUAGGGUUGUAAAGCUCUUUUGUCCGGGACGAUAAUGACGGUACCGGAAGAAUAAGCCCCGGCUAACUUCGUG
This 433-nucleotide ribosomal RNA is filed under the name uncultured bacterium. RNAcentral describes it as "partial 16S ribosomal RNA". It matches the Rfam family "Bacterial small subunit ribosomal RNA", at positions 29 to 507 of the family's 1533-position model. The record is from RNAcentral.